Molecule: long non-coding RNA, 2015 nt
Organism: Mesocricetus auratus (golden hamster)
Lineage: Eukaryota; Metazoa; Chordata; Mammalia; Rodentia; Cricetidae
Exons: 3
Source: RefSeq, a predicted model, not a curated record
CUGCCCACCAGAGCUGGCUCUGCCUUCAGGCAGACUCUGCCCUCACUUCCCACUGCAUGAGCUUCUCCAGCAUGUUCCCGUGUCCACUUCUGGCUGGCUCCUUCUCCCGGUGAGGUGUGGGCUUCCCCUGGACCCCUUCCUGAGGCUGCUGCUGCGGCAGGUCAGCCGCCUCGACACAACAGAAGCUUGUGCAUCUAUUGUUGCUGCCACCGCCAAACUGUCUCAGCUCCCAGACACAUGGAAGCCCUGCAGCUGCCUCCAGCCAGGCUGCGCACUGCCUGUGUCCUCUGCCUAGCAACGAUACUCAGCGGCAGCCAGCCCCACACUUCACUGUCAUCGUCAGCAGAUCUGAGAUAAUCCAAAGAGAAGGCCCCAUAUUCUUCAGUAAUACGCAGAAGGUAUGUCAAAGGCCAACAUUGGACUAAUGAAUGCAGAUCAACAUGGGACAGAUGUAAAUUCUCAGCUACUGCUACACCACCAUGCCUGCUGCCAAGCUUCCUACCCUGAUGAUCAUGCACUCACCUUCUGAAACUGUAAAUGAUGAACCCCCAGGUAAUUACUGUCUUUUAUAAACUGCCUUUGUCUCCAUGUCUCUUCACAACAAUAGAGCAGUGACUAAGCAACAUGUGAUCCUAGAACUUGGAAGGCUGAGGCAGGAGGAUCAAGAGUUUGGCCAACUAAAUAGACACUCUGUCAGUACUGUGUGUUUGUGUGCGCACACACAGCCUCAGUUAUAUGUGGAAUCUAAAGAUAAGUCUUAUUGAGUCGAGUAGAAUUUCUCAGAGGCUGGAAAGAGGAUUGGAUGCUCGGGGUACAGAGCUGUGACCAGGAGGAGGAGGUCCUACCAUGCCAAUAAGCAUGACUGUGGGUCAUUGUUUCUUGAGACAGAUUCUCAUGUGGCUCAGGAUGGCCUCAAACUUGCUAUGCAACCCAGGAUGACCCUAAACCCCAAUUCUUCUGUACUGUUUCUCAAGUCCUAGGAGCUACAGGUUUUUGCCAACAGGGCUGACUCAUGGUUUAUGUUUCAAAAUGGCUAGAAGAAAGGAUUUUGGAUGUUUUACUAUAAAGAAAUGUCUGAGUUGAUGAGCAUGUUAAUUACCCUGACUUGAUUACUAGGCAUUGUGCAUAUUCUGAGAUAUAUAUGUGUGCAUGUGUGUGUGUUAUAUAUGUACCCCCUUAGAACUGAAUAAUUAUUGCAUGCCAAUUCAAAAUAAAAUAAAAUUUUAGCCAGGCAUGGCUGAGGAGGGUGAGUUCCAAGAGACCUGGGCUACAUGGUAAGACUGUGACAGUCUCACAACAAAGCAAAAACAGUAACUCCAAAUAAGCCUUACCUCCUCUAAAAAGUGAAAAUAAUAGCUGAACAUGGUGCUGGGACCUGCAGAGAAAGCAGGGACCCGAGGGGAGGAGGGACCAGUAGAAGAGGCAACUGGACCUAGGCCUGGGAAAGCCAGCACAGGGGAGAGGGUUGAGGAUGGCUGUAAGACCUGUUGCCAGGCAGCUGCAGAAAGAAUGGCGCUCACUAUCUGUAGAGGCCAUGGGACAGAGGGGACACCCCCUCCUCCUUCUCAACACUCGCAGAAGCCAACUCAAGCUUUCCGAGACCCUGACCUUUUCCACAGCUCUCUUCCAACCACACCCCCCAACAGCUAUCCAAGAAACAUGUGUUUUGUCAACACACUUUUAAAGAUUUGCUUGUUUUCCUGUGUAUGCGUGUUUUGCCUGCAUGUGUGUCUGUGUGCCUGAGCCACAUGCAUGCCUCGUGCCCUUGGAGAUCAGAAGAGGGCAUUGGAUCUCCUGGAGCCAGAGUUACAGACAGUUGUCAGCUACCAUCUUAAGGGCUGGGAACAGAACUCGAAUCCCCUGGAAGAGUAACCAGUGCUCUAACCACUGAGCCAUUUCCCAGUCCCUCAGCAACGUUUUUCAUACAUGUAAAAGUAAACACAUUUAUUGCGUAAAACUUGAAAACCACAGAAAAGCAAAGUUGAAAAUCACACUUAAAUUCCCCACACUACACA